UCUGGUUGAUCCUGCCAGUAGUCAUAUGCUCGUCUCAAAGAUUAAGCCAUGCAUGUCUAAGUCCAAGCUGUGUUUACACGGCGAGACCGCGGACGGCUCAUUAAAUCAGUCGUUGUCCUAAUGGGCAAGUUAUUCUUACUCGGAUAACUGUGGUAAUUCCAGAGCUAAUACAUGCAACUCAAAGCUCCGAGGAGAGAGGGUCUUGCGGCUCUCUCUCUGACGAGUGCUUUUAUUAGACCAAACUGCUGGGGUUCCGACUCUGUUCCUCCUUCGCGGGGUUGAGAGAAGGUCCUGACUGCUCUGUGGUGACUCUGGAUAACCUGAUUGACAAGCGCACGUACCUUUCAACAAGGACGGCGCUGCCACUUUCGAGUGUCUGCCUUAUCAGCUUUCAAUCGCUCGUUAUACGCGACCGAUGGCUUUGACGGGUAACGGGGAAUCAGGGUUCGAUUCCGGAGAGGCAGCCUGAGAGACGGCUACCACGUCCAAGGACGGCAGCAGGCACGCAAAUUACCCAAUCCCAGCACAUCUGGGGGAGGUAGUGACGAAACAUAACGAAGCGUGCGCCCUUCAUGGGUCUCGCUAUCGGAAUGAGCACUUCUCUAAACACUCUGUUGAGAACCUACUGAAGGGCAAGUCUGGUGCCAGCAGCCGCGGUAAUUCCAGCUUCAGUAGCAUAUAUUAAAGUUGCUGCGGUUAAAAGGCUCGUAGUUGAAUGUCUGUGCCGGGUCGUGGCAGGUGGACGCUGGUAGUUUACGUUGUUGUUACCCCUCGUGGUGCACGCGUUCUCCCGUCCGUUACAAUCCUCCGCGCCCGUGCACAAAAGGGCACUGCCGCUCCUCGCGGGCGGUGUGCCACAUGUCACCCUGAGUAAAUCAGAGUGCUCAAAGCAGUCGUAAAGGGCCUCGUGCCCUGUUAACAGACGGCGUUGGGAGUGAGGGCCAAGCGGUGGUGACACCGGGCGGCACGAUCUUCCGCGCUCAGAAGGACCGACUUGAUUUUGCAUGGUAUGUCGGAAUACGACGUGGGGCGCUGGCUAACGGUCGUAGCAGUGGUAUAAGCCAGCCUCCACGUAAUGAUUAAAAGGGCUUGUCGAGGGCAUUGGUAUUGCGGAGCGAGAGGUGAAAUUCUAUGACCUUCGCAAGACCUCCCGAAGCGAAAGCGUCUGCCAAGGAUGUUUUCAUUAAUCAUGAACGAAAGUUAGAGGAUCGAAGGCGAUCAGAUACCGCCCUAGUUCUAACCCUAAACGAUGCCAACCAUCAAUCCGAGUGGUACCCUUUUUGACGGGCUCCACGGGCGGCUCCUACACCUCGGGAAACCAGAGUCUUUGGGUUCCGGGGGGAGUCUGGUUGCAAAGCUGAAACUUAAAGGAAUUGACGGAAAGGCACCACCAGGCGUGGAGCCUGCGGCUUAAUUUGACUCAACACGGGCAAUCUCACCAGGCCAGGACUCUAGCAUGAUUGACAGAUUGAGAGCUCUUUCUUGAUUCAGUGGAUGGUGGUGCAUGGCCGUUCUUAGUUGGUGGAGUGAUCUGUCUGGUUAAUUCCGAUAACGAACGAGACUCUCCCCUGCUAACUAGUCGGUUGGAUCUUUGUUGCGGGUUAGCAGUGAGCAGGCUGCUUUCCGACCUCGGUGUUGCGGUGCUUCUUGCGUGGCUCUCCGGAGGGGAUGCAUGGUGUGUGUGCGCGCUAUCUCUUGAGGUGUGUGUGCGCGCGCCCUCUCUCUUCUCUGUGAGGACUCGCUGUUGUGUCGCGCCCUUGGUACAGGGAACUUCUCUGCCUGCGCCCAAAGUCCACCGGCCACUCGUGGUCUAUAAGAAUUCUUCUUAGAGGGAUAAACGGUUCUGAAGCCGUCAGAGACUGAGAGCAAUAACAGGUCUGUGAUGCCCUUAGAUGCUCUGGGCCGCACGCGCGCUACAAUGCUGGACACAGCAGGUGUUUCUCCCUGCUCCGAGAGGAGCGGGUAACCCUCUGAAUGUCCUCCGACAUUAAUCUCCUGUUCAGCGCCUCGCCUUCACGGGUGGGUGUUGCAUGGGAGAGCAGCGUGCUUGGGCCUGGGGUUUGCAACUGUCCCCCACAAACGAGGAAUGCCUAGUAGCGGCGGGUCACUGAGCCCGCCGUGACUGAGUCCCUGCCCUUUGUACACACCGCCCGUCGCUACUACCGAUUGGGUGUUCCAGUGAGAACCUUGGACUGGCGGAGUCGCCCCUCAAAGGCGGUAUCACGACUGAAAGAGGUUCGAACUGGUGCACUUAGAGGAAGUAAAAGUCGUAACAAGGUUUCCGUAGGUGAACCUGCGGAAGGAUCAUUA
RNAcentral lists this ribosomal RNA (2310 nucleotides) under Pseudoprotella sp. AI-2007-2. RNAcentral's name for it is "SSU rRNA". It matches the Rfam family "Eukaryotic small subunit ribosomal RNA". Lineage: Eukaryota; Metazoa; Arthropoda; Malacostraca; Amphipoda; Caprellidae. The record is from RNAcentral.